CACUUCCUACUCUUGGCUCACUCUACCUUCAACCUCUCAGCUCUGUCAUUUUUUUUCUGUCUAUGAAUUUAAAAUAGUUUUAUGGCACCAGAUAGUGAAGUGAAAGCAAUAGCAUUUGUCCCAGCCGUGGGUGGGAUCACCUUGCUACCGCGGUGAAAUCGAAGGGGCUGAUCUUCACAAGGAUUUUGCAUUAAGGCCAAUGUGACCUUCUUGCCAAAUGAUUGUUGAAGACUACAGCUAACAAAGUGUUCUGGGGGGCUAUCAAGUGUCUCCAAGGCAGCAGCUGCCCAUUGGCUGGAGAGGAAAUCAAACGUUUAUCCACUGCUACCUUUGCCUGUGGAUGGUAAAAAGGUAU
This is a long non-coding RNA of Lepidothrix coronata (blue-crowned manakin), 355 nucleotides long. RefSeq lists it as uncharacterized. The transcript is spliced from 3 exons. The record is from RefSeq and is a predicted model, not a curated record. NCBI's taxonomy places the organism in Eukaryota, Metazoa, Chordata, Aves, Passeriformes, Pipridae.